CCUACGGGAGGCAGCAGUGGGGAAUAUUGGGCAAUGGGCGCAAUCCUGACCCAGCAACGCCGCGUGAAGGAAGAAGGCCCUCGGGUUGUAAACUUCUUUUAUUCGGGACGAAACACAUGACGGUACCGAAUGAAUAAGCCACGGCUAAAUACGUGCCAGCAGCCGCGGUAAUACGUAGGUGGAAAGCGUUAUCCGGCUUGACUGGGUGUAAAGGGCGUGUAGGCGGGAGAGAAAGUCAGACGUGAAAUUCCAGGGCUCAACCCUGGAACGGCGUUUGAAACUGUUCUUCUGGAGUGAUGGAGUGGCAGGCGGAAUGCCGGGUGUAGCGGUGAAAGGCGUAGAUAUACGGAGGAAAACCAGUGGCGAAGGCGGCCUGCUGGACAUUAACUGACGCUGAGGCGCGAAAGCGUGGGGAGCAAACAGGAUUAGAUACCCCGGUAGUC
RNAcentral lists this ribosomal RNA (443 nucleotides) under uncultured bacterium. RNAcentral's name for it is "partial 16S ribosomal RNA". It matches the Rfam family "Bacterial small subunit ribosomal RNA", at positions 338 to 795 of the family's 1533-position model. The record is from RNAcentral.